Molecule: ribosomal RNA, 342 nt
Filed under: Polypedates maculatus (spotted whipping frog)
Lineage: Eukaryota; Metazoa; Chordata; Amphibia; Anura; Rhacophoridae
Description: partial 12S ribosomal RNA
Rfam family: Bacterial small subunit ribosomal RNA
Source: RNAcentral
AACCCAAAGGACUUGACGGUGUUCCACCCAACUAGAGGAGCCUGUUCUGUAAUGAUGAUCCACGAUAAACCUAACCAUUUUUUGCUACUCAGCCUGUAUACCUCCGUCGUAAGCCUACCAUUUGAGUGAGAAAAAGUAGGCACAAGGACUUAGAGCCAAUACGUCAGGUCAAGGUGCAGCUUAUAAAAUGGAAGAAAUGGGCUACAAUUUCUAAUUUAGAACACACGAAUUACUGUAUGAAACAAAGUCAUGAAGGUGGAUUUAGCAGUAAGUCGGGAAUAGAGAGCCCCACUUAACCUGGCCAUGGAACGUGUACAAACCGCCCGUCACCCUCUUCGAUAG